UACAGAGGUCUCGAGCGUUGCGCGGAUUUAUUCGGGCUUAAAGGGUGCGUAGGCGGGCUUGUAAGUACCUUGUGAAAUCCCACAGCUCAACUGUGGAACUGCUUGGUAGACUGCAAGCCUUGAGGUCGGUAGGGGUCGCUGGAGCAGUUGGUGGAGCGGUGAAAUGCGUAGAUAUCAACUGGAACGCCCAAGGCGAAGGCAAGCGACUGGGCCGAUUCUGACGCUGAGGCACGAAAGCGUGGGGAGCAAACGGG
Molecule: ribosomal RNA, 254 nt
Filed under: uncultured bacterium
Lineage: Bacteria
Description: partial 16S ribosomal RNA
Rfam family: Bacterial small subunit ribosomal RNA
Source: RNAcentral